Molecule: long non-coding RNA, 1837 nt
Organism: Clupea harengus (Atlantic herring)
Lineage: Eukaryota; Metazoa; Chordata; Actinopteri; Clupeiformes; Clupeidae
Source: RefSeq, a predicted model, not a curated record
UAGUUUAGCUUUAAAUGUUUUUUUUUUUUUUUAUUAUUAUUAUUAAGGUUGCUUUUUACUUUUAUACUUUAAGUAAAUUUUAGAGCCUGUACUUUUUUACUUUUACUUGAGUAAAGAGGUGAAAAGUCGAUACUUCAACUUUUACCAGAGUAUUUUUAAACUCCAGUAUCAAUACUUCUACUUGAGUAACGAAUGUGUUUACUUUUACUGCUACUGAUAUGCUGGAUGUGUUAAGUGUUUUGAGAAAGUGUACAUGGUAUUGAACCAAGUGUGAAAAUGAUUGGAAAAAACUGUAAUGGUCUCACUUUUUGAAGCUUGUCACCAGAGUCUGCUAUCCCUGGGUUUGAACAGGGUAGGUAUCUGCAUAACUCCUCAUACCUAUUUCGUGGCAUGGUGUCUGCCACAUAGGACACUUGUAAGGCUGGAUCAGAUGAACAGUAGUCAAGAUAAGAGGGUAAAUGAUGGAUACCCAUGAGGAUGUUUAUUCCCACAAACACCUUCACCUCCUCCACAAAUGUAUUGCACAAGGAUACAUUUGAAGAGGCAUAGAGGUUGGUGUUUUUCACCAAAUUAGCAAAAAUGUUGGUUAUCUGUAUGGUUUAGUAGUGAUAAUAUUUUAAUAUUUAUUUUAAUAUUUAUUUAUUUACAAAAUAUAUAACAAAUACUAAUUAAAUACAUUAAGAAGAUAUUACAUCUAAUAAAUACGUCUGCAGUACGGUUCAAAAUGUAUGAAUUUGAACUUUAGGGUGUAUGUAAAGCUAUGUAUUUUAAUAUUUGUAGAUGUCACUAAUACAUAUUUGAUAUCAUAUUAACAAACAAUUUAUGCCCUUUCAAAAAAAAAAAACUUGUAAUUGUAAUUUUUCUUUUGUUUUCUAACUGUAACUGUUUGUUUACAGGAUAACAGAAAAUAAAGGAAUUCUCUGUUUUUCGCAGUAAUUUGCUGCAGUGUUCUAGAAUUCUAUCUCAACCAAGGGAGUGUCCACCCUGUUUGACAGUGAGGGUAUUUCCAAGUGAUGUCACAAGGUGAAUGUACGCCAUUUGAAGCUAUAUGUCCAGCUUCCAUUGGGAUGCUGCACAAUACAGUACAUUCCUGAAUAUCAGAAGUAAUGUCCACAUCCUCAGCCUUGUCUGGUCGCUGAAGAUGGUGAAUGGAGGUAUUUGUUUAGCAUGGCACUUUGGCACUAUUUACUGUCAUGUGGAGUUGAAAGUAAUUGUACAUGUGGUGCUUUAUGUGCUUUAUGUUCUUCUUUGGGAAUUUGGGAAUUUCCCUCGGGAUUAAUAAAGUAUCCAUCCAUCUAUCUAUCUAUCUAUCUAUCUUCCCUAAAAGCUGAGGUUGUUACGCCUGAUCACACAUGCAGCAAGACGGCAGACACAGGUGAGGGCACGACCUUGUACAGAGAAGAAAGAGUAUACAGUAUGUAUAUACAGUAGAUGCUGAAUGUUUUUUUUCUUUGUGUGUGUGCCUUUUCCAAUUUCAGGCAUUCCCACUACAUCCACAAGUUUAGAGGAGGAGUUGUAUUUUCUAUAAUUUUUUAGUCUUGAUCUUAAUGUAUUAGUUGUUUCUGCCUUUGAUCUGUUAAUUAUUGAAGUGCUUCACUGUCUCUCUCUCUCUCUCUAUACUAGCUUUGGAGGACAAGAUUCCAGUAAAAUUAGCUGCUAAGGGAUUGCUGCCGACCACAGACAGUGUUCCACUGAUAUAAGCGAUGGAGAGUUUUGCACGUCUGACGGUAAUCCGCUACAACGUUGCCACUGUAAGUAGUUUCUAUUUCACCUCGCUGAGGAAUUGCAUUUACGACUGCUAUUUCGCGUUCUGAAAUUCUUCUGAAGUUCAGAACAA